GAUGAACGCUGGCGGCGUGCCUAAUACAUGCAAGUCGAGCGAACAGACGAGGAGCUUGCUCCUCUGACGUUAGCGGCGGUCGGGUGAUUAACACGUGGAUAACCUACCUAUAAGACUGGGAUAACUUCGGGAAACCGGAGCUAAUACCGGAUAAUAUAUUGAACCGCAUGGUUCAAUAGUGAAAGACGGUUUUGCUGUCACUUAUAGAUGGAUCCGCGCCGCAUUAGCUAGUUGGUAAGGUAACGGCUUACCAAGGCAACGAUGCGUAGCCGACCUGAGAGGGUGAUCGGCCACACUGGAACUGAGACACGGUCCAGACUCCUACGGGAGGCAGCAGUAGGGAAUCUUCCGCAAUGGGCGAAAGCUUGACGGAGCAACGCCGCGUGAGUGAUGAAGGUCUUCGGAUCGUAAAACUCUGUUAUUAGGGAAGAACAAAUGUGUAAGUAACUAUGCACGUCUUGACGGUACCUAAUCAGAAAGCCACGGCUAACUACGUG
Molecule: ribosomal RNA, 497 nt
Filed under: uncultured bacterium
Lineage: Bacteria
Description: partial 16S ribosomal RNA
Rfam family: Bacterial small subunit ribosomal RNA
Source: RNAcentral